CAGCCGGAGCUUUGCCUUGCACGCACAGAAACAGACACACACACACACAGACACACACAGGCACUGUCCUCGCCCCCCAUGCGGUUUUCAGCACGUUCACCUGCCGGGGAGCGGGAGGAAGAGGUGGAGGAGCGGCGCGGGGGCGCUCAGUCGGCCAUGGAGUGACACUGAGAUGAUGUGUGUCAAGAGACUUAUGCAGAAGUGUGCUAUGGACCAGGAGGUUCAGAAGUGGAGGGGCCAGCCUGCCCCAGGAUCAAGGGGUGGGUGCAAUUGCCUGAGGUAAGAGCCAUGUCCAGCAUAUUUGGAUGUGGGUCUUGCUCUAGCAUUAAUUUAGUUUCCCAGUUAACUUGUGAAGUGCUUCAAAGGGUGCUGAAACAGUCUGCAAAGGGCACCAGCAGCAUGAGCAACUGCUGAAGCCUGAGAGAAGGCCCCUGCUGCCGGGGCAGGCUGCAGUGGGAAUUUUAUCACUGACUCCUGGAUGAGCAGAACUAGGCGAACACACAUAGCUUUCCCAAUCUGAGUUCAAAUGUGUGAAUUUACCAUAUCUAACGCCUCCCUGAAAUCCAAACAGACUCAAUUACAUUCUCUUUCUGUAAUGAAUCAGUAAUUAUAUUGAAGAACACUAUUAUUUGUUUGGCAUGACCUAUAUAAACCCGACUUGGGGAGUGCAUAGUUGGUGUGGUGCCAGUGCCCUGCGUAUUAUUGCCUUAUAAACACAACCAUUGUUUGAAUUUCAGAUCAAAACAAACCGAGCCACGUCGCUUGUCAGUUAUUAGAUAUCUUUUUCCCAAAUGCUCACCCAGGCCGUAUUACAAUAACAAUAAUUAUUAUUACAUACUUCCUUAUUGUAUGUUUGUGCCGAGGUAGCACAUUUGCCUUUUUCCCACACAUUAGUUGCUUCUCCUGACUCUUAUGAUUCACUCCUGCCUAUUUCCCAAUGUCCGUGAGGUCUUUCUGCAUUCCCAGCUGCAUUUUGUCAAGACCUGCAGAUUGGCACAGGGAUUCACGGUGCUAUAUUGCACCAGCCUGCAAAGGUUGCAAACCAGCACAGGGGCUUUGCUCCUCGAGGGAAUAUACAAACUGAAGAAAGAUGUGGACCCUGCCCCCAGGUGCUUUAUAAAUAUUUAACUUGGUCUGAUAAUGUGAUAUGGGCUGAUAAUGUGAUUUGGACAGACUAAAACCCAGCCCUGCCUGGGCAGGGUUGGAAAUGGACCUUUUAUGGGAAACAGGGUGGGAGGGGGGCAAGCCAGAGCAGCCAAGUGAUGAUGCUUUCCACAGCCACUGCCACAGCUGGGAGUAGACUCACCCUUCCCAACCUGGGACACCCAAAAUGUAGCAGCCAAAUCCUCAGCAAGCUGCCGAUCUGCCUUUACAGUCACAGAGGAGAAGCGGGUGCUUGGCUGUCAGAAAAAAAUCAUGGAAACAUUCCACUGGUUAAUGUCUGCUGAAUAAUCAGCAGCCAGGGCUGCUGUGGCUGGAAAGAGGCAGAGGCCAACAGAAACCACUCUGCUGCAUUAUCAUCUUGCUGUGUAUCAACUCAGGAUCAUGGAUGCAGGAUUUGAAAAAACUGAUUUUGUCCCAGUUUUUGAGAUCUAUGCCUUUCUAUGUUCACAAGCACUUGUUACAUGCAUUAACCAUCUUACUGAUACAAGGGCAAUUGUUGUUUUGAUGUACAGCAGGUGUCACUUGCUUCCUUUUUUCUGGAAUCUGCCAUCAGCCUCUUUAAAGCUUCUGGCACUUCCCUUAAUCUGAACAAUUUAUUGAGCUGGUAAUAUCCCUUCUGCUUGGGAGCAGGCGGAGACCCGACUUCCUCGGGUGCCAGAAAAGCCUGGCAGAGGGCGCACCUACAAGCUGUGGUUUCCAUCUCAAGCCAUUUACACCUCCCAGUGGCUACCCAGAGAUGUUCCAUGGAAGACGCGCGAAGCCAAAAUAAAAGGAAGUAUUAAAAAGUUACAGACAGGUGGGGAAAGGCCACGCUGACAUCCGCCUACUCCCCCUGAAAGGCCACAGAGUCUGAGGAGGCGCCUGGAACGGAGGAAACAUCUACAACCGCUUGCAGAGACCAGCAGAAAGGCACUUCCACACCUACACCUCCAGGGUAACAGCCAACAAAAAUAGCAUCAGACCCAAAAGAUGUGUAUAGAAUAGUGACUGCAGAAAGCCUUGGCUCAUUUUACACCCCCAGCAAAAAUAAAGUCAAGAGAUUUGUCCUUC
Molecule: long non-coding RNA, 2214 nt
Organism: Parus major (Great Tit)
Lineage: Eukaryota; Metazoa; Chordata; Aves; Passeriformes; Paridae
Exons: 4
Source: RefSeq, a predicted model, not a curated record